UACGUAGGGUGCAAGCGUUUGUCCGGAUUUAUUGGGCGUAAAGGGCUCGUAGGCGGCCUGUCGCGUCGGGAGUGAAAGCCCACUGCUUAACGGUGGGUCUGCUUCCGGUACGGGCGGGCUGGAGUAUGGCAGGGGAGACUGGAAUUCCUGGUGUAGCGGUGGAAUGCGCAGAUAUCAGGAGGAACACCGGUGGCGAAGGCGGGUCUCUGGGCCAUUACUGACGCUGAGGAGCGAAAGCGUGGGGAGCGAACAGG
Molecule: ribosomal RNA, 254 nt
Filed under: uncultured bacterium
Lineage: Bacteria
Description: partial 16S ribosomal RNA
Rfam family: Bacterial small subunit ribosomal RNA
Source: RNAcentral